GGAUGCGAUCAUACCAGCACUAAUGCACCGGAUCCCAUCAGAACUCCGCAGUUAAGCGUGCUUGGGCGAGAGUAGUACUAGGAUGGGUGACCUCCUGGGAAGUCCUCGUGUUGCACCCC
RNAcentral lists this ribosomal RNA (119 nucleotides) under Vibrio vulnificus. Lineage: Bacteria; Pseudomonadati; Pseudomonadota; Gammaproteobacteria; Vibrionales; Vibrionaceae. RNAcentral also lists the same sequence under 4 other names. The record is from RNAcentral.